This 497-nucleotide ribosomal RNA is filed under the name uncultured bacterium. RNAcentral describes it as "partial 16S ribosomal RNA". It matches the Rfam family "Bacterial small subunit ribosomal RNA", at positions 28 to 507 of the family's 1533-position model. The record is from RNAcentral.
GAUGAACGCUGGCGGCGUGCCUAAUACAUGCAAGUCGAGCGAACAGACGAGGAGCUUGCUCCUCUGACGUUAGCGGCGGACGGGUGAGUAACACGUGGAUAACCUACCUAUAAGACUGGGAUAACUUCGGGAAACCGGAGCUAAUACCGGAUAAUAUAUUGAACCGCAUGGUUCAAUAGUGAAAGACGGUUUUGCUGUCACUUAUAGAUGGAUCCGCGCCGCAUUAGCUAGUUGGUAAGGUAACGGCUUAACAAGGCAACGAUGCGUAGCCGACCUGAGAGGGUGGUCGGCCACACUGGAACUGAGACACGGUACAGACUCCUACGGGAGGCAGCAGUAGGGAAUCUUACGCGAUGGGGGAAAGCCUGACGGUGCAACGCCGCGUGAGUGAUUAAGGUCUUCGGAUCGUAAAACUCUGUUAUUAGGGAAGAACAAAUGUGUAAGUAACUAUGCACGUCUUGACGGUACCUAAUCAGAAAGCCCCGGCUAACUACGUG